RNAcentral lists this ribosomal RNA (390 nucleotides) under uncultured bacterium. Its description in RNAcentral is "bacterial SSU rRNA". It matches the Rfam family "Bacterial small subunit ribosomal RNA", at positions 28 to 419 of the family's 1533-position model. The record is from RNAcentral.
GACGAACGCUGGCGGCGUGCUUAACACAUGCAAGUCGAGCGGUAAGGCCCUUUCGGGGGUACACGAGCGGCGAACGGGUGAGUAACACGUGGGUGACCUGCCCUCAGCUCUGGGAUAAGCCUGGGAAACUGGGUCUAAUACCGGAUAUGACUCCAUGACGCAUGUUGUGGGGUGGAAAGCCUUGUGCGGCUGAGGAUGGGCCCGCGGCCUAUCAGCUUGUUGGUGGGGUGANGGCCUACCAAGGCGACGACGGGUAGCCGGCCUGAGAGGGCGACCGGCCACACUGGGACUGAGACACGGCCCAGACUCCUACGGGAGGCAUCAGUGGGGAAUCUUGCGCAAUGGGCGAAAGCCUGACGCAGCGACGCCGCGUGAGGGAUGACGGCCUGG